Molecule: long non-coding RNA, 986 nt
Organism: Pygocentrus nattereri (red-bellied piranha)
Lineage: Eukaryota; Metazoa; Chordata; Actinopteri; Characiformes; Serrasalmidae
Source: Ensembl
CCCAAGUGGACUUCUGGAUCAGUGUGCUUUUGCAGAGCGGUCUUCCAGCCAGAGCCGUGCGCUAGCUAAAGUAAUCAAAAAGCCGAAAAAACGGAGAGAGGGAGAGAGAGAGAGAGAGAGAGAGAGAGAGAGAGAGAGAGAGAGAGAGAGAGGGAUAAAAUGGUUAAACGGCGGGUCGGUGCCGUUAUGACAGACAAAACUGCACCGUAGAGGCGUAAUGGAAAAUCCUGACUCGUGCUCGGCGCGGAAUACAUAAAGGCGAGGAGUGAAAGCGCUUUCAAUAACGGCUCCCUGCCUUGAAUUAAUCACUCACUGUUUAAUGGAUCUUUGAGGUUCGCGCUUGACGCAGUGAGGAACUGCAGCUCUUUGUAUUCUGAGGCAGAGAGAGAGAGAGAGAGAGAGGGAGAGAGAGAGAGAGAGAGAGAGAGAGAGAGACCCAGGAUUGUGAGCCCAACUGUCUUCUUCUGCCUCCUUGAAAUCGUCUUGGGGUUCAUGGUGACAUAGGGACCCCAGUUUCGGCGCCGGUGAGACUCCUGCUCCGCUUCGUCGGGAAGAUUUGGAGAGCAUCCCGCCAGCUCUCUGCAUGUCUAACAGCCAUGGAAUACAUUCAGAGGGCAUCAGCAUGCAAACCGGGGCCCCGAGACUGCCCCACUCAGGACCAUGGCCUCUCCACUCGAUGAGCAGCUGGCCCUAAUGGAUGCCUCGCAUCAUGAUUUUAGCGGCCGGACAGCUUGCUAGAAGCCCGCCACACACAAUUGGACAGCAGGGGGCGGAGCCUACCCCCUGGGCAAUCGAGCGGGGCACCAACUGGCGGAGGCUAGGAGGAAGGAGGGGAACAACAAAACAUCAGAAUCUGAAAGCAUUAAAGCUGGUGUGUAAGUCGAGUUACUUUAAAGGCAGGUGGAAGCUUGUUAUUGGUCAGAAUAAUGAGUGACGUAGCAUCGGAGUCUCGCUGGCAGAACUUGCGCUAAAGCUUUCAUUCCAGU